GGGGAGUGACGUCAAGUACUCCAUGGCCCUUAUAGGUGGGGCUACACACGUCAUACAAUGGCCGGUACAAAGGGCAGCAAACCCGCGAGGGGGAGCCAAUCCAUCAAAGCCGGUCGUAGUCCGGAUCGCAGUCUGCAACUCGACUGCGUGAAGUCGGAAUCGCUAGUAAUCGUGGAUCAGCAUGUCACGGUGAAUACGUUCCCGGGUCUU
Molecule: ribosomal RNA, 210 nt
Filed under: uncultured Hydrogenophaga sp.
Lineage: Bacteria; Pseudomonadati; Pseudomonadota; Betaproteobacteria; Burkholderiales; Comamonadaceae
Description: partial 16S ribosomal RNA
Rfam family: Bacterial small subunit ribosomal RNA
Source: RNAcentral